GUGGGGAAUUUUGGACAAUGGGCGCAAGCCUGAUCCAGCAAUGCCGCGUGCAGGAAGAAGGCCUUCGGGUUGUAAACUGCUUUUGUACGGAACGAAAAGGCUCUGGCUAAUACCUGGAGCUCAUGACGGUACCGUAAGAAUAAGCACCGGCUAACUACGUGCCAGCAGCCGCGGUAAUACGUAGGGUGCAAGCGUUAAUCGGAAUUACUGGGCGUAAAGCGUGCGCAGGCGGUUUUGUAAGACAGAGGUGAAAUCCCCGGGCUCAACCUGGGAAUUGCCUUUGUGACUGCAAGGCUGGAGUGCGGCAGAGGGGGAUGGAAUUCCGCGUGUAGCAGUGAAAUGCGUAGAUAUGCGGAGGAACACCGAUGGCGAAGGCAAUCCCCUGGGCCUGCACUGACGCUCAUGCACGAAAGCGUGGGGAGCAAACAGGAUUAGAUACCCUAGUAGUCC
Molecule: ribosomal RNA, 450 nt
Filed under: uncultured bacterium
Lineage: Bacteria
Description: partial 16S ribosomal RNA
Rfam family: Bacterial small subunit ribosomal RNA
Source: RNAcentral